This 253-nucleotide ribosomal RNA is filed under the name uncultured bacterium. Its description in RNAcentral is "partial 16S ribosomal RNA". It matches the Rfam family "Bacterial small subunit ribosomal RNA", at positions 524 to 776 of the family's 1533-position model. The record is from RNAcentral.
UACGUAGGGUGCAAGCGUUGUUCGGAGUUACUGGGCGUAAAGGGUGUGUAGGCGGUUGGUUAAGUUUGGUGUGAAAUCCCCGGGCUCAACCUGGGAAUGGCAUUUGGGACUGCAAGGCUGGAGUGUGGCAGAGGAGACUGGAAUUCCUGGUGUAGCAGUGAAAUGCGUAGAUAUCAGGAGGAAUACCGAUGGCGAAGGCAGGUCUCUGGGCUGACACUGACGCUCAUGCACGAAAGCGUGGGGAGCAAACAGG